Molecule: ribosomal RNA, 468 nt
Filed under: uncultured bacterium
Lineage: Bacteria
Description: partial 16S ribosomal RNA
Rfam family: Bacterial small subunit ribosomal RNA
Source: RNAcentral
GACGAACGCUGGCGGCGUGCUUAACACAUGCAAGUCGAACGGAAAGGCCCUGCUUUUGUGGGGUGCUCGAGUGGCGAACGGGUGAGUAACACGUGAGUAACCUGCCCUUGACUUUGGGAUAACUUCAGGAAACUGGGGCUAAUACCGGAUAGGAGCUCCUGCUGCAUGGUGGGGGUUGGAAAGUUUCGGCGGUUGGGGAUGGACUCGCGGCAUAUCAGCUUGUUGGUGGGGUAGUGGCUUACCAAGGCUUUGACGGGUAGCCGGCCUGAGAGGGUGACCGGCCACAUUGGGACUGAGAUACGGCACAGACUCCUACGGGAGGCAGCAGUGGGGAAUAUUGCACAAUGGGCGGAAGCCUGAUGCAGCAACGCCGCGUGCGGGAUGACGGCCUUCGGGUUGUAAACCGCUUUCGCCUGUGACGAAGCGUGAGUGACGGUAAUGGGUAAAGAAGCACCGGCUAACUACGUG